Molecule: transfer RNA, 76 nt
Filed under: Desulforhopalus singaporensis
Lineage: Bacteria; Pseudomonadati; Thermodesulfobacteriota; Desulfobulbia; Desulfobulbales; Desulfocapsaceae
Description: tRNA_Arg_CCT
Rfam family: tRNA
About the family: Transfer RNA (tRNA) molecules are approximately 80 nucleotides in length. Their secondary structure includes four short double-helical elements and three loops (D, anti-codon, and T loops). Further hydrogen bonds mediate the characteristic L-shaped molecular structure. tRNAs have two regions of fundamental functional importance: the anti-codon, which is responsible for specific mRNA codon recognition, and the 3' end, to which the tRNAs corresponding amino acid is attached (by aminoacyl-tRNA synthetases). tRNAs cope with the degeneracy of the genetic code in two manners: having more than one tRNA (with a specific anti-codon) for a particular amino acid; and 'wobble' base-pairing, i.e. permitting non-standard base-pairing at the 3rd anti-codon position.
Source: RNAcentral
GCCCCCGUAGCUCAGGGGAUAGAGCACAGGAUUCCUAAUCCUGGUGUCGGACGUUCGAAUCGUCUCGGGGGUACCA